UUUGUCACCCUAAACUCGCCUUCCCCCUAACUUAAAUAUCACCCUUUCCUUCACCCAAAAUCAAAACCCAAAACCCAGUUCCUCCCACCGCCGUCGCCAACACAGAUCACCGCCACCGCAUUGAUUUCUCUCUACAUCUCCAUCGUCUGUUUUCUAACAUCUGCGUUCAUAGUGGUUUUUUUUUUCCUAGGGUUUUGAUUUGGAAAACCGGUUUUGCUGUUGAUUCACCACCAAUCUCCUCUUUCACAGUGCUGGUGAUUGUAAGGGAAAACUUCAUAUCUAUUACCUACAAACUUCUGAUUAUUCAUGCUUUCAGGGUGCUCAUGACUCAAGUAAAAAGGAGGCUAAUUCUGAAGAAGCCACCGAUAGACAGUCCUUCCUUGCAUCAGGGGGCCGCUAUUGAAUGAUCCAUCUUCAUGAUGUCAGUAGGGAAAAUGUCAUAUCUCAAUUGGGAGAGGUUGAAGAAGAAUAGGGUCAAAGCCGAAGUUCGACAUGGAGAGAUUAUCUCUUUUGAGCUUGGAGGAGUACUUAAAUUUGAUUCUAGAUGAUGCUAGAAAAGUCAACAUCAAGAGGAAGAGAAAAAAACUUUACAUGGGUUCAUUUUCUCAUUUUCCUUUACUUUUAAUCUCUUAAAUGUGCAUACUCUGAAUGUGGUACAUCUAUUUUGUUAUGGGUCAAUUACAUAAAAAAAAAAAAAAAAUGUAAAGGGUAGAUUCUUCUUAAGAGAUGCAACACAACAACCACCUCUCUCUCUCUCUCUCUCUCAAUAGUGGAAAGUGAUGAUUUCAGCAAUUGUGUGAAUUGGCAUUAUGUUUCUUUUUCAAUCCCAUUGAGGUCUAGCAUCUUUGUUUACUGGCAAUGUUAGAAUUUAAAUACAUCUUGGAUAUCAAGAAUGAUUAAUGUAAUUAUGAAAGAUAUUUGAUUGAAUGAGUAUGAAAUUAACUA
Molecule: long non-coding RNA, 945 nt
Organism: Quercus robur (English oak)
Lineage: Eukaryota; Viridiplantae; Streptophyta; Magnoliopsida; Fagales; Fagaceae
Exons: 5
Source: RefSeq, a predicted model, not a curated record